This 153-nucleotide ribosomal RNA is filed under the name uncultured Methanocorpusculum sp. RNAcentral's name for it is "partial 16S ribosomal RNA". It matches the Rfam family "Archaeal small subunit ribosomal RNA", at positions 319 to 477 of the family's 1478-position model. The record is from RNAcentral. Lineage: Archaea; Methanobacteriati; Methanobacteriota; Methanomicrobia; Methanomicrobiales; Methanocorpusculaceae.
UCCCUACGGGGUGCACCAGGCGCGCAAACUUUACAAUGCGAGCAAUCGUGAUAAGGAAACCCUGAGUGCCUGUCGAUGCAGGCUGUUCAUAUAUCUAAAUCAUAUGUGAAGAAAGGGCAGGGCAAGACCGGUGCCAGCAGCCGCGGUAAUACA